This 468-nucleotide ribosomal RNA is filed under the name uncultured bacterium. RNAcentral describes it as "partial 16S ribosomal RNA". It matches the Rfam family "Bacterial small subunit ribosomal RNA", at positions 28 to 523 of the family's 1533-position model. The record is from RNAcentral.
GAUGAACGCUGGCGGCGUGCCUAACACAUGCAAGUCGAGCGAUUUACUUCGGUAAAGAGCGGCGGACGGGUGAGUAACGCGUGGGUAACCUGCCCUGUACACACGGAUAACAUACUGAAAGGUAUGCUAAUACGGGAUAACAUAAGAGAGUCGCAUGGCUUUCUUAUCAAAGCUUUUGCGGUACAGGAUGGACCCGCGUCUGAUUAGCUGGUUGGUAAGGUAACGGCUUACCAAGGAGACGAUCAGUAGCCGACCUGAGAGGGUGAUAGGCCGCAUUGGAACUGCGGCACGGUCCAAACUGCUGCGGGAGGGAGCAGUGGGGAAUAUUGCACAAUGGGCGAGAGCCUGAUGCAGCAACGCCGCGAGAGCGAUGAAGGCCGUCGGGUCGUAAAGCUCUGUCCUCAAGGAAGAUAAUGACGGUACUUGAGGAGGAAGCCCCGGCUAACUACGUGCCAGCAGCCGCAGUAA